UAUGGUUGUUAUAUAAGUCUAGCCUGCCCACUGAUUUAGUUUAAGGGCCGCGGUAUAUUGACCGUGCGAAGGUAGCAUAAUCAUUAGUCUUUUAAUUGAAGGCUUGUAUGAAUGGUUGGACAAAAAGUAAGCUGUCUCAAUUAUAAUAAUUGAAUUUAACUUUUAAGUGAAAAGGCUUAAAUAAAUUAAGGGGACGAUAAGACCCUAUAAAGCUUGACAAUAAUUUAAUUAUACUAUCAAUUGUUAGUAUAACUUGGUUUUAAUUAAUAUUUGUUGCGUUGGGGCGACGAGAAUAUAAUAGGUAACUGUUCUUAAAUAUUUAAUAACAAAUAUAAUUGGAAAUUAGUAUGAUCCUCUAUUAGCGAUUAAAAGAUUAAGUUACUUUAGGGAUAACAGCGUAAUCUUCUUUGAGAGUCCCUAUCGACAAGAAGGUUUGCGACCUCGAUGUUGAAUUAAGGUAUCCUUAUGAUGCAGCAGUUAUAAAGGAAGGUCUGUUCGACCUUUAAAUCCUUAC
This 514-nucleotide ribosomal RNA is filed under the name Penaeus indicus. RNAcentral's name for it is "partial 16S ribosomal RNA". It matches the Rfam family "Bacterial large subunit ribosomal RNA", at positions 1835 to 2599 of the family's 2925-position model. The record is from RNAcentral. Lineage: Eukaryota; Metazoa; Arthropoda; Malacostraca; Decapoda; Penaeidae.